Molecule: long non-coding RNA, 2147 nt
Filed under: Medicago truncatula (barrel medic)
Lineage: Eukaryota; Viridiplantae; Streptophyta; Magnoliopsida; Fabales; Fabaceae
Description: long non-coding RNA (MTRU_LNC001993)
Source: RNAcentral
ACGAGCUAGAAUUUCGUGAUACUUAAAAAUUAAGUAAAGAUGUUAAAUCAUUGUCAUUAAUUUGUCUAGUUCCUCUAUGUUUAAUGGGUUGAUCAACAACAGUGUUGGCUCCUUCAUAAGGUUCAACGAUGGCAUUAUAGCCUGGUUCAACUUUGUGGGGUAGCAUGAUUGAUUCAUGGUGGUAGAUCUCGAAUGUGGAGAGUCUAGUACUUGAGCGAAAAAUGUUAAUGUAUCAAGUGUAAGUUAAUUCUACAUUACAUGCUGCAGUAGAUGUUGAACAACAUUACAUGUUAUGAUUUGUUCUAAAGGAGAAUAUUGACAUUUUUGAAAAACCCUAAGUAUUCUUUAGAAAAAAGACGUCAUACACUUAAGAAUUUUUUAUCAAAAUUUGUAUCUUAGAAAUUCUAAGUAUUAGAGCCUGUUCUGUUUUGUAUUAUUUACACCUCUGAUUGUAUAUCAAGUGUAAGAACAAAUUUGUUUACUUGUAAACUUUUAGAUUAUCUUGCUGGUGUGGUUGAACAUUGAAAGUCUCUUGCUUGCGUACUUAAAUAUUUGGAAGUCUCUUGGUUGUGUCCUUAAACAUUUGUAAUCUUGUGCGAUUAUAGUGAAAAUCCCUCGAAAGUGCAAGAAGAUUAUACUACUCCUGGAUUGUAGGAGGAACCAAUAUAAUUGUUUGUGUCUGCUCUCUCUUGUGCGUGUGUUUUUGUGUGUUUGAUUUUAUCCGCCAUUAUCAUACUAUGAACUCAUCAGACUCUGACUAGUGUAAUACACUUAGAAAAAGAUUGAAAAAGCCAACACACUUCAACCCCUUCUUGUAUUUUUCUAACCUUCAGGCCCAACCCGCAAAAACAUGAGCCCAACAUAGGCCCAUCCAAAAAGGGUUGGGUAGCCCGCUUCGAAAGCUCUAUAAACCAUGGAAUAUUUAUAAAUGAAUAUAAGUCAAUUAUAAAUUUUAGGGUGUUUCAUAAAUCAUGCACAGACCAGAUUUUUGGAAGAAAUUGGUGAUAAUUCGUAUCUGCACAUACUGGGUUUUUGGAAUGGAAUUUGGAAGUUGAAGGCUCCUCCGAAGGUGAAGAACUUGAUAUGGAGAAUAUGUCGGGGAUGCUUACCAACUUGUGCCAAAUUGUUAGAUAAAAGAGUGAACUGUACCUCUGUGUGUUCUAUGUGUGAUGGAAAUUAUGAAGAUGACCUUCAUGUUUUGUUUGAUUGUCAAAGAGCGAGGAGCGUUUGGCGGGACAGUCACCUCUCAAACGAUAUAUAUGUGGCGAUGCAAACAAAUAACACAUCAGCAGAUAUAGUGUUUGCCUUACUACAAAAUCUGCCACAUACUAAAAUCCAGUUAUUUGUUACUUUAGUGUGGAGCUUGUGGAAAAGCUGGAAUAUUCAAGUUUGGCAAAAUAUGUCCGAGAGCAGCCAGUCAAUUGUUGAGCGUGCACAUCAGUUGCUGCAUGGGUGGACAACAGCAAACAGGUGCAGGAACAGGUUUGACAGGUCUGUAAUUGGUGCUGAAACAAAUACGGUUAACACCAUAUCUGGCAGCAGCUGUACACAGGUGCAGCAUGAUUAGUUUCGGUGGCAAAACUACGAAGGGAAGGUUUAAAUGCAACGUGGAUGCAUCCUUUUCGGUACAUUUAAAUGUCGUUGGUUAUGGUAUGUGUAUCCGAGAUAAUCGCGGGAAUUUUGUGAAAGUAAGGACGAUGUGGUCAAGCCCCGUGUGUGUGUCGGAUGUAGGUGAAGCUUAGGGUUUGUCACAAGCUAUCCAGUGGGUUCAUGAGCUACAACUCCCAAAUGUCGAUUUCGAGUUGGAAGCCAAGAGAGUUGUAGACCAUUUCAACAUAGGUAACAAUGAUAUCUCAGAAUUUGGAGUCAUUAUUGAUGAUUGUAGGAAGCGGUGUAAUUCUUAUUUUAGAAACUCUAAGGUAGAGUUUUGUAGGAGACAAGCGAAUGAAGUCGCUUAUAAUUUAGCUCGAGAGGCUACAUUCUUAGCUAGUCCCCAUGAUUUUAAUGGCGUACCUUCUUGUAUUUGACAAUUGAUAUCUAAUGAAAAGCUAUAAGCUAUUUCCUUUCAAAAAAUGCAAUUAAAAAUUAAGAUAAACAUUCACUUUUAUUAAAAAAAAAAUAUGAAACUAAAAGUGAUCAUACAAUAC